AUCAUCCUUGUGGAAUCCAUUGGAUGAAUUGCAGGGAUGAGGGGUGUUUACUGAGCAAACCAACGGAGAGGAGAGGCAGGCAGGGCACUGGGAUAGAGUCAGCUACGUAUUGACUGACACCUGCUUUUUUUUUUCUUUUUUUUGAGACGGAGUCUCGCUCUGUCGCCCAGGCUGGAGUGCAGUGGCACGAUCUCGGCUUACUGCAACCUCCACCUCCCAGGUUCAUGCC
Molecule: long non-coding RNA, 229 nt
Filed under: Homo sapiens (human)
Lineage: Eukaryota; Metazoa; Chordata; Mammalia; Primates; Hominidae
Description: non-protein coding lnc-DYNLT1-2:1
Source: RNAcentral